UUUCCGUAGGUGAACCUGCGGAAGGAUCAUUAUUGAAUAAACUUGGUCGAGCUGUUGCUGGUCCCUCGGGGCAUGUGCACGCUUGCCACCAAUUUUAACCACCUGUGCACCUCUUGUAGACUGAAAAACUGAUUCUCGAGGCAACUCGGAUUGAGGACUGCUGUGCGCAAGCCAGCUGUUCUUGUGUUUCUCAGUCUAUGUUUUACAUACCCCGAAUGAAUGUAUUAGAAUGUUUUGCUGGGCCUCAGUGCCUUUAAAUCAAAUACAACUUUCAACAACGGAUCUCUUGGCUCUCGCAUCGAUGAAGAACGCAGC
Molecule: unclassified non-coding RNA, 315 nt
Filed under: uncultured fungus
Lineage: Eukaryota; Fungi
Description: sequence contains ITS1, 5.8S rRNA gene
Rfam family: 5.8S ribosomal RNA (bases 267-315)
Source: RNAcentral